GCGGGAGUUCCAGAGUGGUCAAAUGGGCAGGACUUAAGAUCCUGUGUGCUUAGUGCCUUCGCAGGUUCGAAUCCUGUCUCCCGCA
RNAcentral lists this transfer RNA (85 nucleotides) under Nanobdellota archaeon. RNAcentral's name for it is "tRNA-Leu". It matches the Rfam family "tRNA". From Rfam's summary of the family: Transfer RNA (tRNA) molecules are approximately 80 nucleotides in length. Their secondary structure includes four short double-helical elements and three loops (D, anti-codon, and T loops). Lineage: Archaea; Nanobdellati; Nanobdellota. The record is from RNAcentral.